CAGCCGCCGCGGUAAUACGUAGGUGGCAAGCGUUGUCCGGAAUUAUUGGGCGUAAAGGGCUCGCAGGCGGUUUCUUAAGUCUGAUGUGAAAGCCCCCGGCUCAACCGGGGAGGGCCAUUGGAAACUGGGAAACUUGAGUGCAGAAGAGGAGAGUGGAAUUCCACGUGUAGCGGUGAAAUGCGUAGAGAUGUGGAGGAACACCAGUGGCGAAGGCGACUCUCUAGACUGUAACUGACACUGAGGAGCGAAAGCGUGGGGAGCGAACAGGAUUAGAUACCCCAGUAGUCCCUGUCUCUUAUAC
Molecule: ribosomal RNA, 301 nt
Filed under: uncultured bacterium
Lineage: Bacteria
Description: partial 16S ribosomal RNA
Rfam family: Bacterial small subunit ribosomal RNA
Source: RNAcentral